This is a long non-coding RNA of Chiroxiphia lanceolata (lance-tailed manakin), 517 nucleotides long. RefSeq lists it as uncharacterized. The transcript is spliced from 3 exons. Lineage: Eukaryota; Metazoa; Chordata; Aves; Passeriformes; Pipridae. The record is from RefSeq and is a predicted model, not a curated record.
AAAGAAGCUGCCUUCCAGAACACCGGGUUGCUCAGCAAGAAGCUCCUCUUUAUUUAUAAAGCGAUAAUGAGAGUAUUUAAAUUGUAUCUGAAGCACUGCCCGGUGUCUCUGGAGCAGCCUGUGGGCGAUGGCAGUGCUGGGAGCAGGGAAGGGUGGGUGAAAGCCCUGGGAUCCCCCCACCUUUGUGCCACCAGCAGCUCAUGGAGCCCUCCAGAGGGGAGCAGGCUUGAUGGAAAACUCCUGGGACAAAGAGCCACCUCCUUUCAGCUCCACACUUGCAGGGUCAACACUAAGGCUGAGACACCCAUCGACUUGGUCAGCGGUGACCUUUGAGAGAGCGAAUUGGCUGGAACCAUCUCCCGAGGGAAGGAGGGACUCUGAAAUGAUUCCAUGCAUUUGCUUCAGCAGGAUGGCACAGACUCAGCACUCCUGAGUCGCGUGGACUGACACUGAUCCCUGCAGAGCCACGAACAUCUGCUCUAGGGAGGCCGUUCUGCCAGUGCUUGGGAGAAGGAUG